Molecule: ribosomal RNA, 393 nt
Filed under: Eumetopias jubatus (Steller sea lion)
Lineage: Eukaryota; Metazoa; Chordata; Mammalia; Carnivora; Otariidae
Description: partial 12S ribosomal RNA
Rfam family: Bacterial small subunit ribosomal RNA (bases 47-393)
Source: RNAcentral
GCUUAGCCCUAAACAUAAAUAAUUCACUUAACAAAAUUACCCGCCAGAGAACUACGAGCAACAGCUUAAAACUCAAAGGACUUGGCGGUGCUUCACACCCCCCUAGAGGAGCCUGUUCUAUAAUCGAUAAACCCCGAUAAACCUCACCACCUCUUGCUAAUCCAGUCUAUAUACCGCCAUCCUCAGCAAACCCUUAAAAGGAAAGAAAGUAAGCAUAAUCAUCACACAUAAAAAAGUUAGGUCAAGGUGUAACCCAUGAGGUGGGAAGAAAUGGGCUACAUUUUCUAAACAAGAACAUACCAUACGAAAGUUAUUAUACGAAAUUAAUAACUAAAGGUGGAUUUAGUAGUAAACUAAGAAUAGAGAGCUUAAUUGAACUGGGCCAUGAAGCAC